AGCCAUAUGUCUUUGCCUUGUCCUCUAAAGAAAGAAAGACCAGUGCCAUCCAUCCCAUUCCCCUAUCAGUAAUUUCUCCAACAUUACUAUUUGAUCAUUAUCUACUAUUUAAUUUAAUCUUCCCUCUGGUGUAGAGCUUCUUCACCUGAAAGUUAUUCAAUUCACAGUAUAGAAAACUACAUAUAAAGUGUUUAAUUUUUUUUAAUACCAUAUCCUAUUAAGAAAGGGAACUACUCAAGUGAAAGAUAGAAAGAGAUACCUGCAGGCUGCAACUUGAUUCUUGUAGUUAACUAGAAAUAAAAUCAUUAAGUUCAAUGAAUGAUAUAAAUAAUAGAUGUCUAACCUUAGAAGUUUCAGAAUUAAAAAUAAGCAUGAUAUAUAAACUUUAAUACCGGGAGACACCAACAAAAAAUACAAGUUCAAUGACCUUGCGAAGUUCCAUAUGACUAAAGAGUUCUCUGAAUAUAAUAAUAACCUUUCAAGUAAUAGUAAAAGAGAAAUGAUCAUUUCUAACACAAACUGGAAUCACUGAAGUACAUUAAAAAAGGGUCAAAAUAAAAAGGGAUAUCUAAAACCCUUGUCCCCUGCAUACAUUUGGUUGUACUUCUUAUUAGAGGAAAAAAGAAACUAAAAGUGGACAGAGAAAUAUGUAUCAAACUUUUUUUCUACAAUAAACAAGUCUAAAUCUUACACUUGAAAUUUAUAACAACACAAAUAAAUUUAAUGAGAAACUUAUGACAUUCAUAAAAUGUGGUGAAGGGAGUGUAUUAACUUAAUCAAUUUAGGACAGGUGCAGUGUAACUAGAACAAGGCUAGAUUAAUAACUUCAGAUCAUACCUACAUAAGUAUAUAGUAACUUAAAUAAAUGAGUUGAGUAG
Molecule: long non-coding RNA, 878 nt
Filed under: Trifolium pratense (red clover)
Lineage: Eukaryota; Viridiplantae; Streptophyta; Magnoliopsida; Fabales; Fabaceae
Description: long non-coding RNA (TPRA_LNC008484)
Source: RNAcentral